UUAAUUUGUGUUUUUUAGGGUGUGUUUUUGUAAUGCACUAAAAUCCAGUUUGGGUUGUUAAUUCUUAGAGUGAAUCUCAGCUAGGUCCUUUUUCAAAUGUUCCAAACCCUUCUGCCCUUGUCCUUUUGAGACAGGGCCUUGCUAUGUAACCAGGCUUGCUUUGAACUUAGAUACUCUGCAUCAGCCUCCCUGGUGUUGGGAUUAGAAGUAUGCACUGUAGUGCUCAACAGCCCCUUUCCUUUUAUUUUUACUCCCUCUCCUAGAAAUUAGUGAAACUGAAUGCAGAGAAAAUUUACAUCUCUUUAUAGUGACUCAAAAUAUUAUUGGAAAAGUAAGUUUAUUAUACUCUGGAGGUAGUAGAAGGGUGCAUUUAGAGACUUUUUUGUGGGAGUGGGACUGGAGUUUGAAUGCAGAGGUUAGCACUUUCAGAGUAGGAGCUCUGCUACUCCAGCCACGCCUUCAGUCCAUUUUGCUGUGGUUAUUUUUGGAGAUGGGGUCUUGUGAACUAUUUUCCUGGGCUGGUCUCGAAUCACAGUCUUUCUGAUCUCAGCCUCCCAAAUAGCUAGGAUUAUAGGUGUGAGCCACCAGUGUCCCACAUCUAGAGAUUUUUUAAUUAUGUAGGAGAAUUUGUAUUAAUGGAUGAGGUUUUGGCACCUGUUUUCUUUUUGUGGUAUGGGGGUUUGAACUCAGGAUUUCACAGUUGCUAGACAGGUGCUCUAUUGCUUGAGUCAUUCCUCCAGUCCUUGCACCUGCUUUUUAUCUUUUUCUUUUUUCACUGUCAGUUCUUGGUCUAUUAGUGUGCCUGUCCUGCAGAACCUCCUUAAUUCUAAUAAUUUUCAUAUUGGAGAACGAGAUGAUCAAAUUUCUUCUAGUAACUACCAGUGAAGAGAUCCCAGAAGCAGUGGCUUCAGUUUUAGCAGGAAAUUCAGAUGCAUCUGAGAAUGGAGAGAAAGAACUUUAUUAUUGAGGAAGAGAUCUCCUUGGAGUCCACAUUAGCUUCAGUAAGAGCAUUUGAGAAAAGUUUUUCUUUAUUUCAGAUUUAUAUUUUUAUUUCUCAUAGUGGUACAAGAUGGUGGAAUGUGCUUAUCAUGUAGGAAUUGUGCCAGGGAGCAUUUUAUGAGUGAACCUCUACCACUGAGCUAUACCCCCAGCCCUCUGAAGAAAAAAUCUUAAGCAAAACUAAGCCUAGUUUUCCACUUCCACACUUACAGGUGCUAAAACUUGGUACAAACUGAAUCAUCUAGCAGAAAAACAUCAACAUUAUGCUGUGUAGUACAGUCCCAGCAUUGAGAUUUAGUACAUUUUUUAUUUCUUUGAAUAGUGCAUUAGAAAAUAGGAACCACCUGUGUAGAAGAUACAGCAGCUGAUCUGAGUAGAGGGUGUAUAAAACCUCCCAAGCUGGUCUAAUUUUAGGUGUCCUCAAGAGACCCAAGUUGCUUCAGAUGAGAGUCUUCUAAGAUCCCCCUGCUCCUUUAGCCACAAUCUAAACUAUUUCACUGGACUUCCAGGAAAAAUUCAUGCUAAUCUUUUAGUAAGUUUUUUUCAAAAUAAUUUUCAGCAGUACUAGGACAUCUGCAUAUCUACCUACAAAGGGGUGCUGCACCCCUUUCUUUGUCAUAUACAAAAAUUAAUUCAGUGGUUCAUACAACUAACUGUAAGAGCUAAAACUUUAAGUCUCUUGGAAAAUUUAGAAGUAGGCCCUAAUGAACUUGGUUAGGCAAAAUCUUCUUAGAUAUGAUGCCAAAAGCACAAAUGGCCAAAAAAUAUGUUGAACAUCAUCAAAAUUAAAAGUGUGCUUCAGAGUGUGGGAAUAUAACUCAGUGGUAUAAAGCUUGUCUAUCAUUGCUGAAGGCCCUAGUUUCAAUCCCAGCACUGCCAAAAAAAGAAAAAAUGUGUACUUCAAAGAACAUCAAGAAAGUGAAAAGAGGGCUGGGGAUGUGACUCAAGUGGU
This is a non-coding RNA of Castor canadensis (American beaver), 1951 nucleotides long. The record is from RefSeq and is a predicted model, not a curated record. Lineage: Eukaryota; Metazoa; Chordata; Mammalia; Rodentia; Castoridae.